GCCUCAGUGACUCAGUUGGUUGAGCGUCUGACUUCAGCUCAGGUCACCAUCUCAUGGUUCGUGGGUUUGAGCCCCACAUAGGGCU
This 85-nucleotide transfer RNA is filed under the name Felis catus (domestic cat). It matches the Rfam family "tRNA". From Rfam's summary of the family: Transfer RNA (tRNA) molecules are approximately 80 nucleotides in length. Their secondary structure includes four short double-helical elements and three loops (D, anti-codon, and T loops). The record is from Rfam by way of RNAcentral. Lineage: Eukaryota; Metazoa; Chordata; Mammalia; Carnivora; Felidae.